Molecule: long non-coding RNA, 1375 nt
Organism: Ailuropoda melanoleuca (giant panda)
Lineage: Eukaryota; Metazoa; Chordata; Mammalia; Carnivora; Ursidae
Exons: 3
Source: RefSeq, a predicted model, not a curated record
CCUUCCUGACUGGAGUGGAGAUAUCCUUGGGAGAAUAGCAGACACAAGUGAAUCCAUAGCUAACAAGUGGCCCAAGUAAAGGUGGGCUUUGAAAUUUAGGCAGAAGAGUCUAUAGUGAUAAGAUGGAUGCUUCAUUCUGGUACAAUCUUGAGGAACACUGGAGAACCCCCAGCUGGACGAGGUCCUGAAUCAUCUCGACAUACCUGCAGAAUUCUAACUGGGCAAAAGUGGGGUGUUCAUCAUAGAAGCAGUGAUUUGUCAUAGAAUGACAGAUGGAGUGUCUGUUUUGCACAAGAGGACACACUGGUGAAGAAGUUGCUGUUCAGAGAAGGUGGCAUGGUGGACAUUGCAUGCAUUGCAAACUAUAAAUAUUCCUUGUGACUUGGUUCCUCUUGACUACAGUGAUCCAGGUUAUUUUCUCCCCAUGCAUAUGUUCAGCGGCCGACAAGGUUAUCUUGAUUAUUCUUCUGCCUAUAAAUGCCAUUUUUUUUGUUGAUGAAAACACAGAAGAAUUCCUUCUUCCUUACUUUCUCAUCUGGGGCAUGUGUAUGUGACCAGGGGGUGUGUGCUCAAUACUCUGCUUGCUGAUGUUAUCAAGAUACCCUAUAGGGCACACUGUUGAAGAGUUUCCUGUUUCUGCAGAACAGAAUAGCCAGAUUGAGUUUUCAGACAAUGUGCUCUGGGUGGUUGAUGCUGACAGGCUGCACGUUAACUCAGAAGGAGCCUUUGGCAUGAUAGGCAACAUGACAUCUAAUUCAUAGAUUGUUUUCCUUCUUUUCUUUUCAAGGGAGUGAUCUUUUCUCAUCAUAAUCUUCCUAUAGAUGUCAAAACACACGGUCUAUCCCAGUGUAAACACAGGCGUUGGGGGACGGCUUCCUGAAUUGGAUUUUCUGGGGUGAAUUUUGGGACUGGCGUCCAAAUACAUCUAAACAGACAAAUUGACUUCACUGGAGUUGCUUUCAGGUUGUGACACUAGUUUAUUAGAAUUUGACACACAAUUGGAACUUCUGUGGGGUUCAUUUAUUUCAUUUUGAUCAUUCACUAAUAGAUACAGCAAAACUAAGAACUUUAUUUCAAGAUCGUUUUCACUGAUGUUAAUUGAGAUAAGCAGUAGCUUGAGGAUAAUUGGUUUUAACUUGUGAGAUGUUAGUCCAAAAUCUUGCCCUUCAUUUAGGUCUCUGUGAACAAGUGAAAUAAUUAUUAUUUUCUUGCCAAAACUGUUUGCCAGGUGAACUAAUGAUUAUUUGAUAAAACUAUUCCUAUGGUUCUUGUUUGAAUGUGGUGUUACUCUUGACCAUUGUAGGAUUAUGCCUUUUGGAUGAAGCCGAAAGAUUCUGAUGAUUUAAAAGCAGUAAAUAAAAGUAAAAAACUUACU